AACCAGGGUGACAGAAUUCAGGAUGGACACAGCAAAGAAAGAAGGAUAGUUGCAGCCCAGGCUGCAGCUGUAGCAACAAAGCCUGCCUGCCCUGGAUCCCAGCAACCUCCCUUUUCUACAUUUCCCCGGAAUGAGAGACAGCCGUGGGAACCAGAGAGGGGAUGCUCCCACACUUAUGUGGCGGCUGGAGCAAGUAUACAGGCAGAGGAGAAACCUCAUGGAAUCGAAGCCCCCCGAGAAGUGGACCUGAGAUACUGCGAGGAUCAUUCCAGGUACACAUCCCUUAAAGUGAUGGAAGAGAUUCUCUACAUGAAAAAAGUUACAUCUGCCGGGAGCCAUGCUACUCAAGCUGUGUAGCGAAGCUCAGGCAGGAGGAGACCCCCCACAAAGCAGGGGCCUUCGCAGCUGGCUCCCCCUAUUGCCUACCUUGAUUUUGUUAUUCUCCAUUGUACUAUUGGCUUUGCUUUUUGCUUGCAUUUUUUGCCAAAGACUAAGCUAACCUUUGAUAAGAAGCAUGGAAAGGAGGAGAACAAACUUCCCAGAAGCUUUUCAGGCCAGCGCUCCUGAAGAAUGGAACACGCAGGGGCCAGACGGCGAUCUCGGCAGAGAAUACCAAAACCUGCAGGUAGCUAGUCAGACAUUGACCACCCCAUCUCCACCUAAGUGGGAAUGCCCCCCUUGUUUGCAAUGCUAGUGAGAUUAGUGAUGAAGAGUUUUAUAGGAAAAUUAGAGAAAUAGAGUUAUAGGGGAAUACUGAAUGGAAUAACUCUGUCUGACACUUAAUCUUCUCAUGUUUUCUUCCCUCUGCUAUUUCUAUAGUUUUUCUUCUUCCUUCCUAAUUAAAGCCCUUUACUAAAAUUCAUGCCUUCUAUGUGAAAUUACCAAAUACCAUAAUUUUCCAAGAAGUAAAGAUACCU
This is a long non-coding RNA of Manis pentadactyla (Chinese pangolin), 917 nucleotides long. RefSeq lists it as uncharacterized. The record is from RefSeq and is a predicted model, not a curated record. The transcript has 3 exons. Lineage: Eukaryota; Metazoa; Chordata; Mammalia; Pholidota; Manidae.